UACGGAGGUUGCAAGCGUUGUUCGGAAUAACUGGGCGUAAAGGGGGCGCAGGCGGCUUGGUUAGUCUGAAGUGAAAGCCCGGGGCUCAACCCCGGAAUUGCUUUGGAUACUGCCAAGCUUGAGUACGUGAGAGGAGAGUGGAAUUCCAGGUGUAGCGGUGAAAUGCGUAGAUAUCUGGAGGAACACCGGUGGCGAAAGCGGCUCUCUGGCACGUUACUGACGCUCAGGCCCGAAAGCAUGGGGAGCAAAC
RNAcentral lists this ribosomal RNA (250 nucleotides) under uncultured bacterium. RNAcentral's name for it is "partial 16S ribosomal RNA". It matches the Rfam family "Bacterial small subunit ribosomal RNA", at positions 524 to 773 of the family's 1533-position model. The record is from RNAcentral.